CGCGGUCGCCUGUUUAUCAAAAACAUAGCCUAACAGAAUAAUAUUUUAGGUUUAGCCUGCCCAGUGUAAUAAUAAACGGCCGCAGUACUUUGACUGUGCAAAGGUAGCAUAAUAAAUUGGCUUUUAAUUGAAGUCGUGAAUGAAAGGUUCAAUGGAGAUAAUCUGUCUUUUAUAUAAUAAGUUUAAAUUGCUAAAUAGGUGAAAAUACCUAUAAGUGAAAAUAAGACGAGAAGACCCUUAGAAUUUUUAUAAAUAGAGAAUAACUCUUACAUAUUUGUUGGGGCAACACUGUUGGCUAACCAACAGUGAUUAUAUAUGCAAGACCAUUAUUUUUAGAAAGAUAAAUUACCUAAGGGAUAACAGCAUAAUUUAAAAAAGAUUGUGACCUCGAUGUUGGACUAAGGCCAUUUUUCAUUAGACAUAAAAAAUGAUAGUUC
This 437-nucleotide ribosomal RNA is filed under the name Pene sidonensis. RNAcentral's name for it is "partial 16S ribosomal RNA". It matches the Rfam family "Archaeal large subunit ribosomal RNA", at positions 1878 to 2651 of the family's 2987-position model. The record is from RNAcentral. Lineage: Eukaryota; Metazoa; Mollusca; Gastropoda; Stylommatophora; Enidae.